This 120-nucleotide ribosomal RNA is filed under the name Neotoma lepida (desert woodrat). The record is from RNAcentral. Lineage: Eukaryota; Metazoa; Chordata; Mammalia; Rodentia; Cricetidae.
AUUCUCGGCCACAAUACCCUGAAUGGUUCUGAUCUCACGUGAUCUCAGAAGCUAAGCAGGGUCAGGCCUGUUAGUGCUUGGAUGGGAGGAACCCUCUGGGAAUUGUUGUUAUUUGGAGUA